UACGUAGGGUGCAAGCGUUAAUCGGAAUUACUGGGCGUAAAGCGUGCGCAGGCGGUUAUGUAAGUCAGAUGUGAAAUCCCCGGGCUCAACCUGGGAAUGGCAUUUGAGACUGCAUGGCUAGAGUGUGUCAGAGGGGGGUAGAAUUCCACGUGUAGCAGUGAAAUGCGUAGAUAUGUGGAGGAAUACCGAUGGCGAAGGCAGCCCCCUGGGAUAACACUGACGCUCAGGCACGAAAGCGUGGGGAGCAAACAGG
RNAcentral lists this ribosomal RNA (253 nucleotides) under uncultured bacterium. RNAcentral's name for it is "partial 16S ribosomal RNA". It matches the Rfam family "Bacterial small subunit ribosomal RNA", at positions 524 to 776 of the family's 1533-position model. The record is from RNAcentral.